UACGUAGGGGGCAAGCGUUGUCCGGAAUCAUUGGGCGUAAAGCGGGUGUAGGUGGCUAUCUAAGUCAGAAGUGAAAGCCCCAGGCUUAACCUGGGAAGUGCUUUUGAUACUGGAUAGCUUGAAUGUGGGAGAGGAUCGUGGAAUUCCUGGUGUAGCGGUGAAAUGCGCAGAUAUCAGGAGGAACACCGGUGGCGAAGGCGGUUCUCUGGGCAUUACCUGACGCUGAGGAGCGAAAGUGUGGGGAGCGAACAGG
Molecule: ribosomal RNA, 253 nt
Filed under: uncultured bacterium
Lineage: Bacteria
Description: partial 16S ribosomal RNA
Rfam family: Bacterial small subunit ribosomal RNA
Source: RNAcentral